This 492-nucleotide ribosomal RNA is filed under the name uncultured bacterium. Its description in RNAcentral is "partial 16S ribosomal RNA". It matches the Rfam family "Bacterial small subunit ribosomal RNA", at positions 29 to 507 of the family's 1533-position model. The record is from RNAcentral.
AGUGAACGCUGGCGGUAGGCCUAACACAUGCAAGUCGAACGGCAGCACAGUAAGAGCUUGCUCUUACGGGUGGCGAGUGGCGGACGGGUGAGGAAUACAUCGGAAUCUACUUUUUCGUGGGGGAUAACGUAGGGAAACUUACGCUAAUACCGCAUACGACCUACGGGUGAAAGCAGGGGAUCUUCGGACCUUGCGCGAUUGAAUGAGCCGAUGUCGGAUUAGCUAGUUGGCGGGGUAAAGGCCCACCAAGGCGACGAUCCGUAGCUGGUCUGAGAGGAUGAUCAGCCACACUGGAACUGAGACACGGUCCAGACCACUACGGGAAGCAGCAGUCGGGAACAUUGGACAAUGGGCGGAAGCCUGAUCCAACGAUAGCGCGUAGGAGAAGAAGGCCUUCUGGUUGUAAAGCCCUUAUGUGGGGAAAGAAAAGCAGCAGCCUAAUACCCCGCUGUUCUGACGGUACCCAAAGAAUAAGCACCGGCUAACUUCGUG